This 1255-nucleotide long non-coding RNA is filed under the name Equus caballus (horse). RNAcentral's name for it is "lncRNA (ENSECAG00000052551.1)". Lineage: Eukaryota; Metazoa; Chordata; Mammalia; Perissodactyla; Equidae. The record is from RNAcentral.
GAAACAGGACCUGAUGGAGGAGACAAAGGACACCCAUACACCGCAUCUGGGGAGAUGGUUCCAGAGAGCCCUGAGAGGCAAAGCUUCUACUUACCCACAGGGUGCUACAUCAGGUGUCCUUCAUUCUGAAUGCACAGGAGAGUCACCUGGGGAGGAUUUUAAGACACCAGGGCCCUACUCUGACCAACAAAAUCAGAUUUAGGAAGAGGCCGGAGUAUCAGGAAUUUUAAAAAGCUCCUGAGGGGAGCCCAGUGAGUAGCCAGGGUUGAGAACCACUUUGCUAGAGGAAGCUGAUCUGAGAAACAAGCGGAGGUGACGGUGGGGAAGAAGGAGCUUGAAUCUCUCCCUGGUCUACCAGCAGGUUCGGGGAACAGGGGCCUGGACCUGCAGGCAGACAUUUUGCCACCACCUGAAGCAGGGGAUAAACCCAACAUGGAAGACUGUGGAGCUGAGAUACGGAGAAGAGACAAAUCUUGAUGACAUGAUUUGAGACAUUCCUGAAGUAACAGUUAUAGCUGAGCUGCCUAGAGAAAUAGACUACAAGCCUCAACUUCCAUUGCAACUGGAGCCAUGAGACUAAGUUUUGGCCAACAGGAUGCAAACAGAAGGAUGAUGUGGUAGCGUCCAGAAUCCUUAACAGACAGCAAGAACUGGCCUUUUUCUCCAUCCUUCCUCCAUUCUGCUAUCUGAAACGUGAAUGUCACCAUUUUUGACUUGAGGAUGAGGCCAUACCUGAGGAACGGGAUGGAUGGGGAGCUGGAGCUGUUGGGAUUGCAGGGAGCAGAGCCCACAUUGACUCCGGCCUGACACUUCUGCACUUCACUUAUGUGAACGAGAAAUUUGGACCGUCGCUGUGUGUCUGGGUAUAAUGUCAUCGUUCAACAUCUCUACCCUAUCCAGCUUUCCAUCAUCUGUUAAUGAGAUCAGGGUGCCAUCUGUGCCUCCAGCCAAGUCAUUAAUAAAAAUAGCAUCAGGAGAGGACCAAGGACAGCAAUCUCCAGCGUGCUCCAGAGGGCUCUCUCAUUAGGGUGCUGGUGAUCUAGCCACCUCGCCUUUGAACACAGAUAUGGGAUGGUGCGGAGGGAAGCUGGGGAGCGUCAGCCAUUGGUCGGCGGGUCUCAAACUGUAGUGUGCAUCAGAGUCACCCAGAGGGCUUGUUAAAACACAGGUAGCUGGGCCUCAUCCCCAGAGUUUCUGUUUUAUGUUUUUUUAAAAAUUAUUUUAUUGAGGUCAUUUUGGCUUAUAACGUUGUGUA